RNAcentral lists this ribosomal RNA (423 nucleotides) under uncultured bacterium. RNAcentral's name for it is "partial 16S ribosomal RNA". It matches the Rfam family "Bacterial small subunit ribosomal RNA", at positions 360 to 775 of the family's 1533-position model. The record is from RNAcentral.
AAUUUUGGACAAUGGGGGAAACCCUGAUCCAGCCAUCCCGCGUGUAUGAUGAAGGCCUNCGGGUUNUNAAGUACUUUUGGCAGAGNCGAAAAGGUACCUCCUAAUACGAGGUACGGCUGACGGUAUCUGCAGAAUAAGCACCGGCUAACUACGUUCCAGCAGCCGCGGUACUACGUAGGGUGCAAGCGUUAAGCGGAAUUACUGGUCGUAAAGCGUGUGUAGGCGGUUCGGAAAGAAAGAUGUGAAGUCACAGGGCUCAACCUUGGAACUGCAUUUUUAACUGCCGUGCUAGAGUAUGGCAGAGGGGGGUAGAAUUCCACGUGUAGCAGUGAAAUGCGUAGAUAUGUGGAGGAAUACCGAUGGCGAAGGCAGCCCCCUGGGAUAAUACUGACGCUCAGACACGAAAGCAUGGGGAGCAAACAG